This 440-nucleotide ribosomal RNA is filed under the name Enterococcus faecalis. RNAcentral's name for it is "bacterial SSU rRNA". It matches the Rfam family "Bacterial small subunit ribosomal RNA", at positions 927 to 1361 of the family's 1533-position model. The record is from RNAcentral. Lineage: Bacteria; Bacillati; Bacillota; Bacilli; Lactobacillales; Enterococcaceae.
CGCCACAAAGCGGUGGAGCAUGUGGUUUAAUUCGAAGCAACGCGAAGAACCUUACCAGGUCUUGACAUCCUUUGACCACUCUAGAGAUAGAGCUUUCCCUUCGGGGACAAAGUGACAGGUGGUGCAUGGUUGUCGUCAGCUCGUGUCGUGAGAUGUUGGGUUAAGUCCCGCAACGAGCGCAACCCUUAUUGUUAGUUGCCAUCAUUCAGUUGGGCACUCUAGCAAGACUGCCGGUGACAAACCGGAGGAAGGUGGGGAUGACGUCAAAUCAUCAUGCCCCUUAUGACCUGGGCUACACACGUGCUACAAUGGGAAGUACAACGAGUUGCGAAGUCGCGAGGCUAAGCAAAUCUCUUAAAGCUUCUCUCAGUUCGGAUUGCAGGCUGCAACUCGCCUGCAUGAAGCCGGAAUCGCUAGUAAUCGCGGAUCAGCACGCCGCG